CGUGUCCCCGCCGCCCUUCCUGACCGAUGGCGCUGAAGCGGACUCAGAAAGAAUUAAGUGAUCUACAACGUGGUCCACCGGCUCACUGUUCAGCUGGACCCGUGGGAGAUGACUUGUUCCACUGGCAAGCAACUGUUAUGGGACCUCCUGAUAGCGCACAUCAAGGUGGUGUCUUCUUUCUCACUGUGCAUUUUCCGACAGACUAUCCUUUUAAACCACCAAAGAUUGCUUUCACUACAAAAAUUUACCAUCCAAAAAUAAACAGUAAUAGAAGUAUUUGUCUUGACAUCCUGAGGUCUCAGUGGUCACCAGCCUUGACUGUAUCAAAAGUUUUAUUGUCCAUAUGUUCUCUGCUUUGUGAUCCUAACCCAGAUGACCCCUUAGUACCAGAUAUUGAACAAAUCUAUAAAUCAGGCAAAGAAAAAUAGAACAGACACGCAAGAGAAUGGACUCAGAAAUAUGCAAUGUAAAUUCAAAAAAACUUUCACAUAUACCAGAGUACUGGAAUCUAGGUUUUUUUCAACAUUAGCGGUAAAUUGAGCACUGUUUACUGUUUCAUUGUACCAUGAAACCCUUUGAUUUUAUCCAUUUUAAAUGUUUCUGAAGCAAGACAAAACAGACUUCCAAAAAUACCUUAAGACUGUGAUG
This is a non-coding RNA of Castor canadensis (American beaver), 648 nucleotides long. NCBI's taxonomy places the organism in Eukaryota, Metazoa, Chordata, Mammalia, Rodentia, Castoridae. The record is from RefSeq and is a predicted model, not a curated record.